Molecule: ribosomal RNA, 253 nt
Filed under: uncultured bacterium
Lineage: Bacteria
Description: partial 16S ribosomal RNA
Rfam family: Bacterial small subunit ribosomal RNA
Source: RNAcentral
UACAGAGGUCUCAAGCGUUGUUCGGAUUCAUUGGGCGUAAAGGGUGCGUAGGUGGCGCCAUAAGUCAGGUGUGAAAUCUCGGGGCUCAACCCCGAAACUGCACUUGAUACUGUGGUGCUGGAGUACUGGAGAGGAGAUUGGAAUUUACGGUGUAGCAGUGAAAUGCGUAGAUAUCGUAAGGAAGACCAGUGGCGAAGGCGAAUCUCUGGACAGUUACUGACACUGAGGCGCGAAAGCGUGGGGAGCAAACAGG